Long non-coding RNA from Tympanuchus pallidicinctus (lesser prairie-chicken), 337 nucleotides. RefSeq lists it as uncharacterized. NCBI's taxonomy places the organism in Eukaryota, Metazoa, Chordata, Aves, Galliformes, Phasianidae. The transcript is spliced from 2 exons. The record is from RefSeq and is a predicted model, not a curated record.
UUGAAAAGAGAGAGCUUGUGAAACAGGAGAUCUUGAAGGCAAAGCACAAGGGCAGGGAGAAGCUCAGCCUCGGAUAGGUGUACAUGGCCGCAGCCAGCAGGCGGGCAAGAAGAGGCUAGCAGAGACACAGCCAAAGAGCAGCGAGACCACCUCAGCUACGGAGCAGCCAGAGCGCCUGAAAAUGCGACAAGCACCAGGAUGGAUUUGUCGUGGUCAGAUGUUUUCGUCUUCCUCCGUGUUGUCUCGUCUUUAAGGAACUUAGAGAAGACCAUCCGUGCCCAAUGCUGCCAGCAUAUCUGCCGGAACACCUGGGAAAUAAAUUGUUGUUCUCAGUGUA